Pteropus alecto (black flying fox) is the source of this 119-nucleotide non-coding RNA. The record is from Rfam. Lineage: Eukaryota; Metazoa; Chordata; Mammalia; Chiroptera; Pteropodidae.
GUCUACAGCCAUGCUACCCUGAACAAGCCAGAUCCUGUCUGAUCUCAGAAGCUAAGCAGGGUCGUGCCUGGUUAGUACUUGGAUGGGAGACCACCUACAAAGACCAGGUGCUGUCAGGG